AUGUCUGACGGAUGCUGUGGCUGGGCAGACCUUCCGGACGGACUGUUGGACUCUAUCAUUGCUCGGCUUGGUGCUUCCCGUGAUCUUUUUGCCUUCGAAGCCACCUGCCGCUCUUGGCGUGCCGCGUUUUCUUCAUGUCCAGCAGGCUUCCCACCUCUCCUUCUCCAACCAGAUGUCUCUUUGUGCUCUCCUCGUUCUCCCACCUUCAGAAAGAGCCUGGUGCCCACACGCCCAUGUCAGGUCACUGAUAUAGCCAACCGAGACACCACUUGCCAGUGCUUUGAGAUUCCCAUAUUUUUGAUUCCUCGUGGAAAGAAAUCCCUGCCAAGUCCUCUGGAAAACUUUUGCUUCAUUGGGUCUUCCUACGGUCAUGUUAUUUUUUCCAACAAUAAAUCGUGUGUAGUUUUUGAUUUGUUUACAAACGUUACUGCCACAUCUCCACAACUGCCAGUCUUGGAUGGCAGUGGUCCCAUCUAUGGUGCGCUCACUGCUCCUCUAGCAUCACCUAACUCAUAUCUCAUUAUCGAAGCUGGGUCACAAAAUCUGUUUUGGCAUGUUGGUAGCCAUUCUUGGGCACAUUAUUCUCUUCGUCAUGGACCAAUAAAGCAAAUCGUGGUCUUCCAAGGGCAAGUGUUUGGCAUGAAUUCUGGUCGCAGGCUCUUUAAAGUGCACUUGACACCCCAAAUAAGCAUACAAGAACUGCCAGUUAUUAAGUCAAGCUUGAGCAGUGAACAACAUCUUUCCGACGCAUUGCUUGUCUGUGGCGAUAUGCUUCUCUUGGUAACCAUAAGGGGACGUACUUUACUACCAAGGAGAACCUUCGAAGUCUUCCACCUUGACCUAUCGACUGAGCCCGCAUGAUGGCUAAAGUUGGAGAAGUUAUUGCAUUGGGUGAUCUUCAUCAGCCAUGACAAGAGAAGCCAGGCAUUGUCUUGCAUGAACCCAAAGAAAUGGGGAGGGCGGAGCAAUUGCAUAUACUUCUAUGACCGCUGGUCUAAACGUGGGAUCGUUUUUGAGUUGGGCAAGCCGGGGCAGGGAUAUAGGUAUGUUACCGGUGAGUGGGACAGAAGGGUGCAACCUAUGUGGUUUUUCCCCAGCAUGUUCUCUCUGCAUCGGUGA
RNAcentral lists this ribosomal RNA (1119 nucleotides) under Triticum aestivum (bread wheat). RNAcentral describes it as "partial small subunit ribosomal RNA". The record is from RNAcentral. Lineage: Eukaryota; Viridiplantae; Streptophyta; Magnoliopsida; Poales; Poaceae.